AACGAACGCUGGCGGCGCGUCUUAAGCAUGCAAGUCGAACGGCAAGAGAGAAGCUUGCUUCUCUCCUAGAGUGGCGGACUGGUGAGGAACACGUGGGUAAUCUACCCUUAAGAUGGGGAUAGCUGCUAGAAAUAGCAGGUAAUACCGAAUACACUCAGUUUUUCAUAAGAAGGAUUGAGGAAAGGAAGCUACGGCUUCGCUUGAGGAUGAGCUUGCGUCCCAUUAGCUUGUUGGUGAGGUAACGGCCCACCAAGGCGACGAUGGGUAUCCGGCCUGAGAGGGUGAUCGGACACAUUGGGACUGAGAUACGGCCCAAACUCCUACGGGAGGCAGCAGCUAAGAAUAUUCCGCAAUGGACGAAAGUCUGACGGAGCGACGCCGCGUGGAUGAAGAAGGCUGAAAAGUUGUAAAAUCCUUUUGUUGAUGAAGAAUAAGGGUGAGAGGGAAUGUUUCAUCUGAUGACGGUAAUCAGCGAAUAAGCCCCG
Molecule: ribosomal RNA, 485 nt
Filed under: Treponema sp. oral taxon 228
Lineage: Bacteria; Pseudomonadati; Spirochaetota; Spirochaetia; Treponematales; Treponemataceae
Description: bacterial SSU rRNA
Rfam family: Bacterial small subunit ribosomal RNA
Source: RNAcentral